Molecule: ribosomal RNA, 483 nt
Filed under: uncultured bacterium
Lineage: Bacteria
Description: partial 16S ribosomal RNA
Rfam family: Bacterial small subunit ribosomal RNA
Source: RNAcentral
GACGAACGCUGGCGGCGUGCUUAACACAUGCAAGUCGAACGCUGAAGCUCAGCUUUUGUUGGGUGGAUGAGUGGCGAACGGGUGAGUAACACGUGAGUAACCUGCCUCUUUCUUUGGGAUAACGCCCGGAAACGGGUGCUCAUACUGGAUAUUCACUGGUCUUCGCAUGGGGGUUGGUGGAAAGGGUUUUUCUGGUGGGGGAUGGGCUCGCGGCCUAUCAGCUUGUUGGUGGGGUGAUGGCCUACCAAGGCUUUGACGGGUAGCCGGCCUGAGAGGGUGACCGGGCACAUUGGGACUGAGAUACGGCCCAGAGUCCUACGGGAGGCAGCAGUGGGGAAUAUUGCACAAUGGGCGCAAGCCUGAUGCAGCGACGCCGCUUGAGGGAUGGAGGCCUUCGGGUUGUGAACCUCUGUCGCUCAUGGUCAAGCCGCAACAAUGGUUGUGGUGAGGGUAGUGGGUAAAGAAGCGCCGGCUAACUACGUG